Molecule: ribosomal RNA, 542 nt
Filed under: Rhizophagus intraradices
Lineage: Eukaryota; Fungi; Glomeromycota; Glomeromycetes; Glomerales; Glomeraceae
Description: SSU rRNA
Rfam family: Eukaryotic small subunit ribosomal RNA
Source: RNAcentral
UUUGGAGGGGCCAGUCUGGUGCCAGCAGCCGCGGUAAUUCCAGCUCCAAUAGCGUAUAUUAAAGUUGUUGCAGUUAAAAAGCUCGUAGUUNGAAUUUCGGGGUUAGUAGGUUGGUCAUGCCUCUGGUAUGUACUGGUCUCACUGAUUCCUCCUUCCUUAUGAACCGUAAUGCCAUUAAUUUGGUGUUGCGGGGAAUUUGGACUGUUACUUUGAAAAAAUUAGAGUGUUUAAAGCAGGCUAACGCUUGAAUACAUUAGCAUGGAAUAAUGAAAUAGGACGUUCGAUCUUAUUUUGUUGGUUUCUAGGAUUGACGUAAUGAUUAAUAGGGAUAGUUGGGGGCAUUAGUAUUCAAUUGUCAGAGGUGAAAUUCUUGGAUUUAUUGAAGACUAACUACUGCGAAAGCAUUUGCCAAGGAUGUUUUCAUUAAUCAAGAACGAAAGUUAGGGGAUCGAAGACGAUCAGAUACCGUCGUAGUCUUAACCAUAAACUAUGCCGACUAGGGAUCGGAUGAUGUUAAUUUUUUAAUGACUCAUUCGGCGCCU